GCGCAAUCCCUUGCCCUUUAAUUGUGGGCAUGUAUGAAUGGAUAGACGAGGUUGGCCCUGUGUUCCCAAUUAGUUGGAAUUUAAUAAGUAGGAGAAGAAGCCUUUAUUUUACUGAAAGACAAGAAGACCCUAUCGAGCUUGAUCUAUGGGCGGAGGGGUUUGUUGUUAGGUUUGGUUGGGGCAACCCCAUUUCAUUGGAGCACUUAUAUAAAAUAUAAGGCUUUGAGCUUUCUAAUGACCUCUACUAGGAUUAAAGGACACAGCUACCGUAGGGAUAACAGGCUAAUUUCUUUUAAGAGUUCAAAUUGACAAAGAAGUUUGGCACCUCGAUGUUGGCUUAGGGUCCCCUGUAAGAGCAGGAGCUUACAAGGUGGGGUUGUUCACCCUUUAAAACCCU
This 397-nucleotide ribosomal RNA is filed under the name Sabellidae sp. 095-IOM-0288. RNAcentral describes it as "partial 16S ribosomal RNA". It matches the Rfam family "Bacterial large subunit ribosomal RNA", at positions 1959 to 2597 of the family's 2925-position model. Lineage: Eukaryota; Metazoa; Annelida; Polychaeta; Sabellida; Sabellidae. The record is from RNAcentral.